AUGCCUGUUCGAGCGUCAUUUGUACCCUCAAGCUUUGCUUGGUGUUGGGCGUCUUGUCUCCAGUUCGCUGGAGACUCGCCUUAA
This 84-nucleotide ribosomal RNA is filed under the name Ulocladium sp. XJ07072-3. Its description in RNAcentral is "5.8S ribosomal RNA". Lineage: Eukaryota; Fungi; Ascomycota; Dothideomycetes; Pleosporales; Pleosporaceae. The record is from RNAcentral.